CCUACGGGAGGCAGCAGUAGGGAAUCUUCCACAAUGGACGCAAGUCUGAUGGAGCAACGCCGCGUGAGUGAAGAAGGUUUUCGGAUCGUAAAGCUCUGUUGUUGGUGAAGCGGUAAUCAACCAGAAAGUCACGGCUAACUACGUGCCAGCAGCCGCGGUAAUACGUAGGUGGCAAGCGUUGUCCGGAUUUAUUGGGCGUAAAGCGAGCGCAGGCGGAAGAAUAAUCUGAUGUGAAAGCCCUCGGCUUAACCGAGGAACUGCAUCGGAAACUGUUUUUCUUGAGUGCAGAAGAGGAGAGUGGAACUCCAUGUGUAGCGGUGGAAUGCGUAGAUAUAUGGAAGAACACCAGUGGCGAAGGCGGCUCUCUGGUCUGCACUGACGCUGAGGCUCGAAAGCAUGGGUAGUGAACAGGAUUAGAUACCCUUGUAGUC
Molecule: ribosomal RNA, 431 nt
Filed under: uncultured bacterium
Lineage: Bacteria
Description: partial 16S ribosomal RNA
Rfam family: Bacterial small subunit ribosomal RNA
Source: RNAcentral